Molecule: long non-coding RNA, 1140 nt
Organism: Scylla paramamosain (green mud crab)
Lineage: Eukaryota; Metazoa; Arthropoda; Malacostraca; Decapoda; Portunidae
Exons: 4
Source: RefSeq, a predicted model, not a curated record
UUCUCUUCAGGACCAAAAACUUCAUCUUGUCACUGUGCCCUACAAUAGCCAGUCAUUUCAUUGAUUGGUUGACGUGGGUAAGUGGGUGUCUGUAGUAAGGGAAAGUAGACAGAAAAAACGGUAAAAAGUAAAAUAUGAACUGAUUACUCUUGAAGAUUUGAAGCUUCAUAGCCAUAUUGUUCAAAUGACUGCAUUAGUCUUUCAUCAUUAUUUUUCAGAAUUCAUCCACUCCCCGGUUGAUAGAGGUGGGCUUGAAGGUGCUGAUGACUGCUGGCCACCACUAUUGCAAUAAUACAUUUUUGUCAUAGACCUGAAAAUAAAGUGUGGAGAUGCUGGCAAGGUGUACUGAUUCAUCGGUGUACUGCGCAGGCGUGAACCAGCUGGCUGGUGGGGUACCAAAUGGCUGCAAGCUUGACAGCAGGGCAGCGGCGAGGCAGCGGCGGGGCCGGAGAAAGGAAAGCGUUUGGCUUUGAACCCUUGGUGACCGCCUCCCCGGACCUUUGAUGUCCCAGCCACAGAGUUGAUGUGGCGGCCACAGAGUUAAGGGGCGAGGCUGUGCUGUGUCACCUGGCGCACCGUGAUCCUUUGUGAGGCCGCUGUGCAGCUCCCUGAUGGAAGAGUGGCCUCCUUAGCCUCGCAGGGCCUGGCGUUACUUAGCAGUGUGGAGCAAAAUCAGUGAGUGAAUGUCCAGUAUACUGCUGCAUGGAGUGUCACGCGUGAGGAGGUACCCGGUUGGCCUCCCUUGGCCCCUCGGCUCUUCUCGCUAGCCAGGCCGUGGAGGAAUUGCCGGACAAGCUGUGUUAGUCUUGCAGAACAUGACAGCCGGGUACAGCGGGGGAUGAGGUGCAUCCCUCAUCGGCGGCCGUCACAGUAACAGGCGAGGGCGAGAAGCUGCGGUGUGUCAGGUCCCCGCUAGGUGCCCGCCACAGCUGAUGGAGGUGGCAGCCCGCCGCGACCCACUGGUGAGCUGUCUGCGGCCCGCCUUUGUUUGCAUGUUACUGGCUCGCUUAACAAGAGGAAAGCAAGAGGCAUCAACUAAACAGAGGGUCAUCCGUCAAGAACAGAGAUAGAACAGUUUGCCAUGAGCCGCUUAGGAUGAGAAGAAAACGAUGAACUGAUGGAAGUUGCCGAAGAAAGGAU